This 484-nucleotide ribosomal RNA is filed under the name Janthinobacterium sp. 01WB03.1-17. Its description in RNAcentral is "bacterial SSU rRNA". It matches the Rfam family "Bacterial small subunit ribosomal RNA", at positions 13 to 493 of the family's 1533-position model. The record is from RNAcentral. Lineage: Bacteria; Pseudomonadati; Pseudomonadota; Betaproteobacteria; Burkholderiales; Oxalobacteraceae.
UUGAUCCUGGCUCAGAUUGAACGCUGGCGGCAUGCCUUACACAUGCAAGUCGAACGGCAGCACGGAGCUUGCUCUGGUGGCGAGUGGCGAACGGGUGAGUAAUAUAUCGGAACGUACCCUAGAGUGGGGGAUAACGUAGCGAAAGUUACGCUAAUACCGCAUACGAUCUAAGGAUGAAAGUGGGGGAUCGCAAGACCUCAUGCUCGUGGAGCGGCCGAUAUCUGAUUAGCUAGUUGGUAGGGUAAAAGCCUACCAAGGCAUCGAUCAGUAGCUGGUCUGAGAGGACGACCAGCCACACUGGAACUGAGACACGGUCCAGACUCCUACGGGAGGCAGCAGUGGGGAAUUUUGGACAAUGGGCGAAAGCCUGAUCCAGCAAUGCCGCGUGAGUGAAGAAGGCCUUCGGGUUGUAAAGCUCUUUUGUCAGGGAAGAAACGGUGAGAGUUAAUAUCUCUGCUAAUGACGGUACUCUGAAGAAUAGCAC